This 158-nucleotide ribosomal RNA is filed under the name Peziza varia. Its description in RNAcentral is "5.8S ribosomal RNA". It matches the Rfam family "5.8S ribosomal RNA". From Rfam's summary of the family: 5.8S ribosomal RNA (5.8S rRNA) is a component of the large subunit of the eukaryotic ribosome. The record is from RNAcentral. Lineage: Eukaryota; Fungi; Ascomycota; Pezizomycetes; Pezizales; Pezizaceae.
AAACUUUCAACAACGGAUCUCUAGGCUCUUGCAUCGAUGAAGAACGCAGUGAAAUGCGAUACGUAAUGUGAAUUGCAGAAUCUCGUGAAUCAUUGAAUCUUUGAACGCACAUUGCGCCCUAUGGUAUUCCGUAGGGCAUGCCUGUCUGAGCGUCAGCA